Molecule: ribosomal RNA, 116 nt
Filed under: Oscillospiraceae bacterium
Lineage: Bacteria; Bacillati; Bacillota; Clostridia; Eubacteriales; Oscillospiraceae
Source: RNAcentral
GUUGGUAUUGAUUGCGAUGAGUGUCCACCUGUUCCCAUCCCGAACACAGAAGUUAAGCUCAUAAGCGCCGACAAUACUUGGCGGGUGACUGCCCGGGAAGAUAGGUAAUGCCAACA